GGAUUAGAAACCCUGGUAGUCCACGCCGUAAACGGUGGGUGCUAGGUGUAGGCGGUAUUCCACGCCGUCUGUGCCGCAGCUAACGCAUUAAGCACCCCGCCUGGGGAGUACGGCCGCAAGGCUAAAACUCAAAGGAAUUGACGGGGGCCCGCACAAGCAGCGGAGCAUGUGGCUUAAUUCGACGCAACGCGAAGAACCUUACCAAGGCUUGACAUGCAGGGAAAUCCUCCAGAGAUGGGGGGUCCCAAGGGUCCUGCACAGGUGGUGCAUGGUUGUCGUCAGCUCGUGUCGUGAGAUGUUGGG
Molecule: ribosomal RNA, 303 nt
Filed under: uncultured bacterium
Lineage: Bacteria
Description: bacterial SSU rRNA
Rfam family: Bacterial small subunit ribosomal RNA
Source: RNAcentral